Molecule: ribosomal RNA, 254 nt
Filed under: uncultured bacterium
Lineage: Bacteria
Description: partial 16S ribosomal RNA
Rfam family: Bacterial small subunit ribosomal RNA
Source: RNAcentral
UACGUAGGGUGCAAGCGUUGUCCGGAAUUAUUGGGCGUAAAGAGCUCGUAGGCGGUUCGUCACGUCGGCUGUGAAAACCUGAGGCUCAACCUCAGGCCUGCAGUCGAUACGGGCGGACUUGAGUACUGCAGGGGAGACUGGAAUUCCUGGUGUAGCGGUGAAAUGCGCAGAUAUCAGGAGGAACACCGGUGGCGAAGGCGGGUCUCUGGGCAGUAACUGACGCUGAGGAGCGAAAGCGUGGGGGAGCGAACAGG